RNAcentral lists this unclassified non-coding RNA (224 nucleotides) under plant metagenome. RNAcentral describes it as "partial contains small subunit ribosomal RNA, internal transcribed spacer 1, and 5.8S ribosomal RNA". The record is from RNAcentral.
UCUCCGUUGGUGAACCAGCGGAGGGAUCAUUACAGGACUCGCAAGACUCCUUCACCCUGUGAACCUCACUACAAGCACGUUGCUUCGGCGGGUGUCCCGGCGGGGGUUUUCCCUCGCCGGGGCGCACAGCCCGCCGGCAGCCUACUAUACUCUGUCUCUUUGCGUUGGCAUCUCGCGAAAAAACAAACAAGUUAAAACUUUCAACAACGGAUCUCUUGGUUCUG